This 274-nucleotide ribosomal RNA is filed under the name uncultured bacterium. RNAcentral describes it as "partial 16S ribosomal RNA". It matches the Rfam family "Bacterial small subunit ribosomal RNA", at positions 523 to 796 of the family's 1533-position model. The record is from RNAcentral.
AUACGAAGGGAGCGAGCGUUGUUCGGAUUUACUGGGCGUAAAGGGCGCGUAGGCGGGUCGAUAAGUCGAACGUGAAAACUGUUGGCUCAACCAGCAGAUUGCGUUCGAAACUGUCGAUCUUGAGUCCAGGAGAGGAGAGCGGAAUCGACAGUGUAGCGGUGAAAUGCGUAGAUAUUGUCGAGAACACCGGUGGCGAAGGCGGCUCUCUGGCCUGGUACUGACGCUAAGGCGCGAAAGCUAGGGGAGCGAACGGGAUUAGAUACCCCAGAAGUCC